AGAGCGAACGCUGGCGGCAGGCCUAACACAUGCAAGUCGAGCGCCCGUAGCAAUACGGGAGCGGCAGACGGGAUAGUAACACGUGGGAACGCGCCCUUCGGUUCGGAAUAACUCAGGGAAACUUGAGCUAAUACCGAAUACGCCCUUACGGGGAAAGAUUUAUUGCCGAAGGAACGGCCCGCGUCCGAUUAGCUAGUUGGUGAGGUAAUGGCUCACCAAGGCUACGAUCGGUAGCUGGUCUGAGAGGAUGACCAGCAUCACUGGGACUGAGACACGGCCCAGACUCCUACGGGAGGCAGCAGUGGGGAAUAUUGGACAAUGGGCGAAAGCCUGAUCCAGCCAUGCCGCGUGGAUGAUGAAGGCCUUAGGGUUGUAAACUGCUUUUAUGUGUGACGAAUAUGACGGUAGCAUAUGAAUAAGGAUCGGCUAACUCCGUGCCAGCAGCCGC
This 448-nucleotide ribosomal RNA is filed under the name uncultured bacterium. RNAcentral describes it as "SSU rRNA". It matches the Rfam family "Bacterial small subunit ribosomal RNA", at positions 26 to 518 of the family's 1533-position model. The record is from RNAcentral.